UGGAUAUGCAUGCAUACAAUUCAGCUCUGAAUUCCAUAAUCCCAUUUUUUGCUUCACAAAAGAGGUCCAAAGAGAGCACGUCCAAGACGAUUCAACUGAUAGCCCUGAACCUCCACCCAGAAAUAGCACACUUAUAAAACACCUCAGUGCAGGAGUGCUGCAAAGUUCACAUGAGAUAAGUAAUGGAUGUAAAUCACUUUGCAAACCUUAAAGAACUAUACAAAUGUCAGUUAUCAUCAUCAU
Molecule: non-coding RNA, 243 nt
Organism: Phascolarctos cinereus (koala)
Lineage: Eukaryota; Metazoa; Chordata; Mammalia; Diprotodontia; Phascolarctidae
Source: RefSeq, a predicted model, not a curated record